RNAcentral lists this ribosomal RNA (404 nucleotides) under uncultured bacterium. Its description in RNAcentral is "bacterial SSU rRNA". It matches the Rfam family "Bacterial small subunit ribosomal RNA", at positions 29 to 416 of the family's 1533-position model. The record is from RNAcentral.
AACGAACGCUGGCGGCGUGCCUAACACAUGCAAGUCGUGCGAGAAAGUUCCUUCGGGAGCGAGUAAAGCGGCGCACGGGUGAGUAACACGUAGGUAACCUGCCCCCCAGUCUGGAACAACUAGAGGAAACUCUAGCUAAUGCCGGAUGAGACCACGAUCCCUUCGGGGGUUGCGGCCAAAGAUGGCCUCUACUUGUAAGCUAUCGCUGAGGGAUGGGCCUGCGGGCCAUUAGCUUGUUGGUGAGGUAACGGCUCACCAAGGCUGUGAUGGCUAGCUGGUCUGAGAGGAUGACCAGCCACACUGGGACUGAGACACGGCCCAGACUCCUACGGGAGGCAGCAGUGGGAAUAUUGCGCAAUGGGCGAAAGGCCUGACGCAGCGACGCCGCGUGGGUGAUGAAGGCC